GCACUAAUGGGGUAGUGGUAACCUCAGUCGUUGCCACCAGUUCAACGGCUUUCGGAUUCGACUGGCCGCGAGUUCGAUUCUCCCUUAGUGCA
Non-coding RNA from Gloeophyllum trabeum ATCC 11539, 92 nucleotides. Lineage: Eukaryota; Fungi; Basidiomycota; Agaricomycetes; Gloeophyllales; Gloeophyllaceae. The record is from the annotation of a RefSeq genome assembly.